RNAcentral lists this ribosomal RNA (247 nucleotides) under Alphaproteobacteria bacterium. RNAcentral describes it as "partial 16S ribosomal RNA". It matches the Rfam family "Bacterial small subunit ribosomal RNA", at positions 1 to 276 of the family's 1533-position model. The record is from RNAcentral. Lineage: Bacteria; Pseudomonadati; Pseudomonadota; Alphaproteobacteria.
CAACUUAAGAGUUUGAUCCUGGCUCAGAAUGAACGCUGGCGGCAGGCCUAAAACAUGCAAGUCGAACGCUCUAGCAAUAGGGAGUGGCGCACGGGUGAGUAACAUGUGGGAAUAUGCCUUUUGGUACGGAACAACUUUUGGAAACGAAAGCUAAUACCGUAUGGUCCCUUCGGGGUAAAGAUUUAUCGCCAAAAGAUUAGCCCGCACUAGAUUAGCUAGUUGGUAAGGUAAUGGCUUACCAAGGCGA